Molecule: ribosomal RNA, 479 nt
Filed under: uncultured bacterium
Lineage: Bacteria
Description: partial 16S ribosomal RNA
Rfam family: Bacterial small subunit ribosomal RNA
Source: RNAcentral
GAUGAACGCUGGCGGCGUGCCUAACACAUGCAAGUCGAACGAAGCACCUUGAUUUGCUUCUUCGGAUGAAGAUCUUGGUGACUGAGUGGCGGACGGGGGAGUAACGCGUGGGUAACCUGCCUCAUACAGGGGGAUAACAGCUAGAAAUGACUGCUAAUACCGCAUAAGACCACAGCACCGCAUGGUGCAGGGGUAAAAACUCGGGUGGUAUGGGAUGGACCCGCGUCCGAUUAGGUAGUUGGUGGGGUUACGGCCUACCAAGCCGACGAUCAGUAGCCGAGCUGAGAGAGUGACCGGCCACAUUGGGACUGAGACACGGCCCAGACUCCUACGGGAGGCAGCAGUGGGGAAUAUUGCACAAUGGGGGAAACCCUGAUGCAGCGACGCCGCGUAAGCGAUGAAGUAUUUCAGUAUGUAAAGCUCUAUCAGCAGGGAAGAAAAUGACGGUACCUGACUAGGAAGCACCGGCUAAAUACGUG